AUCAAGGAAAAGGAGCCGGUAUCAGGCUCAACUUUAAGCCCACGACACCUAGCCACGCCACGCCCACAAGGGUAUUCAGCAGUGAUAAACCUUGUUUAUAAGCGCAAGCUUGAAUCAGUUAUGGCAAAGAGGGCCGGCAAAUCCGGUGCCAGCCGCCGCGGCUACACCGUUAGGCCCAAGUUGACACACACCGGCGUUAAGCGUGAUUAGAGUGAUUACACUGAUUAGAGUUAAACCCAAACUUAGUCGUGAUACACUUGUUCCCGGGAAACCCAAAAACGAAAGUUACUCUAACCAACCCACUUGACCCCACGACAGCUAGGGCACAAACUGGGAUUAGGUACCCCACUAUGCCUAGCCGUAAAAUAUACACUCACCCCAUAAAUCGCCAGGGAAUUACGAGCCCAAGCUUAAAAGCCAAAGGACUUGACGGUGUCCACCCACCUAGAGGAGCCUGUUCUAUAAUCGAUUCCCCCCGAUAAACCUCACCACUUCUGGCCAACUCAGCCUGUAUACCUCCGUCGUAAGCUUACCAUGUGAACGAAACCAGUGAGCCAAAAGAUCCAACAUCAGUACGUCAGGUCAAGGUGCAGCUAACGAACUGGAAAGAAAUGGGCUACAAUUUCUACCAUAGAACAAACGAAAGGCUACAUGAAACAUAGUCACUGAAGGCGGAUUUAGCAGUAAAAAGAAAA
This 695-nucleotide ribosomal RNA is filed under the name Chiasmocleis capixaba. RNAcentral's name for it is "partial 12S ribosomal RNA". It matches the Rfam family "Bacterial small subunit ribosomal RNA", at positions 9 to 1349 of the family's 1533-position model. The record is from RNAcentral. Lineage: Eukaryota; Metazoa; Chordata; Amphibia; Anura; Microhylidae.